Alligator sinensis (Chinese alligator) is the source of this 777-nucleotide long non-coding RNA. RefSeq lists it as uncharacterized. The transcript is spliced from 2 exons. Lineage: Eukaryota; Metazoa; Chordata; Crocodylia; Alligatoridae. The record is from RefSeq and is a predicted model, not a curated record.
CUGGGGCUGCCGGACGGGGCGCCCGCCGAGGAUGUGCACCGGAGCUACCGGGAACUGGUGAAGCUGUGGCACCCCGACCGCAACCGGCACCGCGUGCAGGAGGCUGAGCGGCGCUUCAUCGAGGUGCAAGAUGCCUACGAGGUCCUCACACGGGCCCGGAGGACCCGGCCGGGGUGAUGGGCUGCCGGCUCCCCUCGCCCCUGUGCAGGGGGGGAGCAGGGGGCAGCCCCCAGGACACCUGGGUUCUGUGGAUCCAGCCACUUCCUCUCUCUGAGACUGGGAGACUUGGGGUCCGGCUGGCACGUGUUCUGGUGGGAGCCUCAUCUGGGUCCACGUCCUCCUCAAGCAGCUGGUUGCAGCAGCCUGGAGGUUAACGGACACCCAUGGGUCCACUCCGGGUUCAAAUGGCGUGUGCGUGCCCUGGGCGUCCCUGUCUGCAGCGCUCUGCACAUGUGUGUGCACAGGUGUGCAAAUACAUUGUCACCCAUGCACGCGCACACACGUGUCCAUAUACAUGCAUUCUCACAAAUAUACACAAGUGUGUGCACACAUGAGAAUGCAUGCAUACAUGUGCACACAUGUGUGUGCGUGUGUGUACUCGCAGGUGAGUGCAUGUGCACGCUAUCUUCCUGCCCUCCCUGCUUGUUUGGCGUUACUUCGGCAGGCCGGGAACAGGUUCCAGCCCCAGCUGCAACGCGGGGCCUGGGGGCGCUGGGCCUGGGAACCUGGCCGUCAUGUAGAUCCAGAGCAAUAAAGCCCUUUGGGCCAUGAGACUCA